RNAcentral lists this long non-coding RNA (991 nucleotides) under Lupinus mutabilis. RNAcentral describes it as "partial ncRNA". The record is from RNAcentral. Lineage: Eukaryota; Viridiplantae; Streptophyta; Magnoliopsida; Fabales; Fabaceae.
CUUACUUUUGAAGAGAGGUCCAAAAGGCUUCGCUUUAAAUCCAAACAAAUAAGUGAGAGGCUCAUGGCAUAAUUCAGAAUUGUUAUUAAGUGAGAAGAUUAGGUUUUGGCUGAGAAGUGGGAUGGGUGAACACGACGAAGAAGAGAGAUAUGAGGAAGAGGGCAAUGGGGGAGACCAAUACCCUCUCGACUCCAAAACUCACAAGCAUGCAUCUCGUGACCGUGAUUAUGAUAGAGAUUCAUCAAGAAGCAGCAGAGAAAAGGAAAAAGAACGAGAGAAAGGGAGGGAAAAGGACAGGAAGAGAGAAAAGGAGAGAGAUCGAGAUCAUCGCCAUCGCGAUCACAGGGACCGAAGGGAAAGAGAAAGGGAAAAAGGGAGGGAUAAAAAUGACGACGAUGAUUAUUACAGAAGGCGAGACUAUGACAGGCGAAAGGAACUUGAUAGAGAGGACAGGCAUAAACGCAGGUCUCGCUCUCGCUCUACUUCACCGGCAAGGGAUAGGUCCCAACAUAGAUCAAGGUCUCGCUCAAAGAGGUAAAUCAUCCAAAUACCAUUAACAUUAUAUAUGCCAUUGAUGACAUUGAGUAUUGCCAUACUUUGAGGGAGUUUACUGUAAGUUCUAUUUUAGUUGAUUGAACAGGGCUUGUAAUAUAUUUGAAAAUAUGAGUCAUUUAAAUACCAAUUUAUUUUGGUUAUGAGUGACAGGGCCUAGAUAUCAUGCCGACUUCUUUGCAGCCCCUUUACAGUUGUUUGCAAUCACCAUCAGUUUAUAACUUUUAUAGCUCAAUAUUCUAACAAUCUAACUACAUUAUUAUAUACACAGUAAAGUGCUUCUUAUUAUGAGGUUACAUUUACUUUUGCAAUGCUAACAUUAUUUACCCACAGCAAAAGGAUUAGUGGUUUUCAUAUGGCUCCUCCUCCUUGUGCAAUGUUAGCUGGCGCUUCCACCAUUACAGGUACAUUUAGUGUUCUGUGACUUUUCCAAACUUUU